AUCCAGCUGACGAGUCUCAAAUAGGACGAAACCCGCAUCUUGAAU
Molecule: non-coding RNA, 45 nt
Filed under: Schistosoma haematobium
Lineage: Eukaryota; Metazoa; Platyhelminthes; Trematoda; Strigeidida; Schistosomatidae
Source: RNAcentral